RNAcentral lists this ribosomal RNA (468 nucleotides) under uncultured bacterium. RNAcentral's name for it is "partial 16S ribosomal RNA". It matches the Rfam family "Bacterial small subunit ribosomal RNA", at positions 28 to 507 of the family's 1533-position model. The record is from RNAcentral.
GACGAACGCUGGCGGCGUGCUUAACACAUGCAAGUCGAACGGAAAGGCCCUGCUUUUGUGGGGUGCUCGAGUGGCGAACGGGUGAGUAACACGUGAGUAACCUGCCCUUGACUUUGGGAUAACUUCAGGAAACUGGGGCUAAUACCGGAUCGGAGCUCCUGCUGCAUGGUGGGGGUUGGAAAGUUUCGGCGGUUGGGGAUGGACUCGCGGCUUAUCAGCUUGUUGGUGGGGUAGUGGCUUACCAAGGCUUUGCCGGGUAGCCGGCCUGAGAGGGUGACCGGCCACAUUGGGACUGAGAUACGGCCCAGACUCCUACGGGAGGCAGCAGUGGGGAAUAUUGCACAAUGGGCGGAAGCCUGAUGCAGCAACGCCGCGUGCGGGAUGACGGCCUUCGGGUUGUAAACCGCUUUCGCCUGUGACGAAGCGUGAGUGACGGUAAUGGGUAAAGAAGCACCGGCUAACUACGUG